Molecule: ribosomal RNA, 492 nt
Filed under: uncultured bacterium
Lineage: Bacteria
Description: partial 16S ribosomal RNA
Rfam family: Bacterial small subunit ribosomal RNA
Source: RNAcentral
AGUGAACGCUGGCGGUAGGCCUAACACAUGCAAGUCGAACGGCAGCACAGUAAGAGCUUGCUCUUACGGGUGGCGAGUGGCGGACGGGUGAGGAAUACAUCGGAAUCUACUUUUUCGUGGGGGAUAACGUAGGGAAACUUACGCUAAUACCGCAUACGACCUACGGGUGAAAGCAGGGGAUCUUCGGACCUUGCGCGAUUGAAUGAGCCGAUGUCGGAUUAGCUAGUUGGCGGGGUAAAGGCCCACCAAGGCGACGAUCCGUAGCUGGUCUGAGAGGAUGAUCAGCCACACUGGAACUGAGACACGGUCCAGACUCCUACGGGAGGCAGCAGUGGGGAAUAUUGGACAAUGGGCGGAAGCCUGCUCCAGCCAUACCGCGUGGGUGAAGAAGGCCUUCGGGUUGUAAAGCCCUUUUGUUGGGAUAGAAAAGCAGCAGGUUAAUACCCCGCUGUUCUGACGGUACCCAAAGAAUAAGCACCGGCUAACUUCGUG